This 188-nucleotide unclassified non-coding RNA is filed under the name uncultured Hypocreales. RNAcentral's name for it is "sequence contains ITS2". The record is from RNAcentral. Lineage: Eukaryota; Fungi; Ascomycota; Sordariomycetes; Hypocreales.
CGCCGCCCGAAUCCGGCCUCUGGCAGUGGAAUCGGUGUUGGGGCUUUGCGCGGGGCUCUUGGCAGCCCCGCGGCCCUGAAAUCCAGUGGCGGCUCCUCGGGGAACCCUCAGCGCAGUAACAUACCCUGCCGCUCUGGAACCUUGUGGGAGACCUGCCGUAAAACCCGUUCUCUCAGAACACAUUUACU